GUGUUUAUAGCCCUGUGACUUUAUCACUUCAUGACUGAGAGCUGCUGCUCAGCAACUUCACCCACAGCAACCAUGACUCUGAUCAGCGUCUUCAUCUGUACACUGGUCCUCUGGACUCAAGGAUCCAGAGGUCAGGGGACUGUGACUCAGACUCCUUCAGUGCAAACUGUUUCUCCUGGAAACACAGUGACCAUCAACUGUAGAUUCAGCACUGCUGUUUAUCACGACUGUGGGCCCUCUGGUGUAUCAUAUGACUGUCUAGCCUGGUACCUACAGAAACCUGGAGAAGCUCCUAAACUCCUAGUGCGCUAUGUGAGUCACCUGUUCUCAGGGACUCCAGCUCGUUUCAGUGGCAGUGGAUCUAAGACUGACUUCACUCUGACCAUCAGUGGAGUCCAGGCUGAAGAUUCAGGAGAUUACUAUUGUCAGAGUAGACAUAAGAUCAGUGAGAGCAAUGUGUACACACAGUGUUACAGCGCCGUACAAAAACCUCAUCACAGAGAAGCACUGCUGCAGCUGGGAAAGACUGCAGGUGCUGAGCACAGGAGAAAACACACCACACUAACACACACACACACACACACACACACACACACCAGUGAGAGGGGUCUACAUUUCCCAGCUGUGGAUCAUUAUUUUAAGUAACAUAUUGACCGUGGAUCUGAGAAAGAAUUUCAUCUUAAACUGACUGAGGUCCAGUUAUCCACACACAGUGACACUCAGCUGAACAUCAACUACACAUCAUUACAAAGUCCUUUUCUCUUUUUGGGGAAUUUUUGCUCACUAGGGAAAAAGGUUCCUCACAGAUUUCUCGGUCAGUUUGUAGUUCUGCUUUUCUGAAGAGGUUCGAGGAACAAGCAAGACAGCUUGAGUUAAAGCAGCAGCAGCCAAACUUACUCAGCUGAUACGACUGUAAAAAUGUUGUUGUUGGUAACACACACACACACACACACACACAUUCUUACAAAGCAGCUUUACAGAAAGGAAAUGAAUUCAGAAUAUAGAUUUUAAAUACAUAAAUUUUCCCUAAUGAGGGAGUCAGAGGUGACGGUGGUGAGGAUAUUGUCCAUGAGACGUUAUGAGGAAGGAACACUGAGAGGAACCAGACUUAAAGGAACCCCAUCCUCAUCUGAGUGACACCUGAGACUGUGAUUAUAAAUCAUUACUCUUGUAGAACUGUGGACUAUAUGAUCAGAAACUGCAGCUGUGUAACCAGGAGAUUCAUUCUAGUUUAAAUAUGAAGUCUGUCAUGUUAAAGGUAUCAGAUGUAAAUGAAUGCAAACUUGAGCCCAUAACCUACAAAACAUAAAGGUUCAGGUCAAAACCAGAAAACUGUUAUAGCUAGGAUUAAUGGAUACAUGAACAGGGACUAGAAAUGUGUGAACUAGGACUAAUAAUGUAUGGGAUCUAGAAAUCAGGGACUAACUGGAACUAGGAUUAGGACAUGAACUGGUAGUUUAGUGGUUAAUCUGUUAGACUACUGAUUAGAAGGUUGUGAGUUUGAAGCCCAGGUUCACCAAGCUGCCGCUGCUGGGCCCCUGAGUAAGUCCCUUAUCUCCCAGUUGCAUAAAAUGAGAUAAGUUAUAAGUCGCUCUGGAUAAGGGCAAAUGUAAAUAAGGAAAAAGUAUUCAGAAUGAAGAAGAUAAAAGACUAAGGAAUGAUUAGGAUUUAGACAAGAAUAAAAGAAUGAAGUAUAGAACUCAGUGAAGCUAAACUGUAAUGC
Molecule: non-coding RNA, 1723 nt
Organism: Hemibagrus wyckioides
Lineage: Eukaryota; Metazoa; Chordata; Actinopteri; Siluriformes; Bagridae
Source: the annotation of a RefSeq genome assembly